Molecule: ribosomal RNA, 253 nt
Filed under: uncultured bacterium
Lineage: Bacteria
Description: partial 16S ribosomal RNA
Rfam family: Bacterial small subunit ribosomal RNA
Source: RNAcentral
UACGUAGGGUGCAAGCGUUGUCCGGAAUUAUUGGGCGUAAAGAGCUCGUAGGCGGUUUGUCGCGUCUGCUGUGAAAACUCGGGGCUUAACCCCGGGCCUGCAGUGGGUACGGGCAGACUAGAGUGCGGUAGGGGAGACUGGAAUUCCUGGUGUAGCGGUGAAAUGCGCAGAUAUCAGGAGGAACACCGGUGGCGAAGGCGGGUCUCUGGGCCGUAACUGACGCUCAUGCACGAAAGCGUGGGGAGCAAACAGG